UCCUACGGGGGGCAGCAGUGGGGAAUAUUGCCCAAUGGGCGAAAGCCUGAUGCAGCAACGCCGCGUGAGUGAAGAAGUAUCUCGGUAUGUAAAGCUCUAUCCGCAGGGAAGAAAAUGACGGUACCUGACUAAGAAGCCCCGGCUAACUACGUGCCAGCAGCCGCGGUAAUACGUAGGGGGCAAGCGUUAUCCGGAUUUACUGGGUGUAAAGGGAGCGUAGACGGCAGUGCAAGUCCGGAGUGAAAGCCCGGGGCUCAACCCUGGGACUGCUCUGGAAACUGUAAAGCUGGAGUGCGGGAGGGGCA
This 305-nucleotide ribosomal RNA is filed under the name uncultured bacterium. RNAcentral's name for it is "bacterial SSU rRNA". It matches the Rfam family "Bacterial small subunit ribosomal RNA", at positions 337 to 659 of the family's 1533-position model. The record is from RNAcentral.